Molecule: ribosomal RNA, 301 nt
Filed under: uncultured bacterium
Lineage: Bacteria
Description: partial 16S ribosomal RNA
Rfam family: Bacterial small subunit ribosomal RNA
Source: RNAcentral
CAGUCGCCACGGGAAUACGAAGGGGGCUAGCGUUGUUCGGAAUUACUGGGCGUAAAGCGCACGUAGGCGGAUAUUUAAGUCAGGGGUGAAAUCCCGCAGCUCAACUGCGGAACUGCCUUUGAUACUGGGUAUCUUGAGUAUGGAAGAGGUUAGUGGAAUUGCGAGUGUAGAGGUGAAAUUCGUAGAUAUUCGCAGGAACACCAGUGGCGAAGGCGGCUAACUGGUCCAACACUGACACUGAGGCACGAAAGCGUGGGGAGCAAACAGGAUUAGAUACCCGUGUAGUCCCUGUCUCUUAUAC